CCUACGGGGGACUGCAGUGAGGAAUAUUGGUCAAUGGACGAGAGUCUGAACCAGCGAAGUAGCGUGAAGGCUGACUGCCCUAUGGGUUGUAAACUUCUUUUAUAUGGGAAUAAACUGUUCCACGUGUGGGAUUUUGUAUGUACCAUAUGAAUAAGGAUCGGCUAACUCCGUGCCAGCAGCCGCGGUAAUACGGGGGCUCCGAGCGUUAUCCGGAUUUAUUGGGUUUAAAGGGAGCGUAGGUGGAUUGUUAAGUCAGUUGUGAAAGUUUGCGGCUCAACCGUAAAAUUGCAGUUGAGACCGGCAGUCUUGAGUACAGUAGAGGUGGGCGGAAUUCGUGGUGUAGCGGUGACAUGCUUAGAUAUCACGAAGAACUCCGAUUGCGAAGGCAGUUCACUGGACUGCAACUGACACUGAGGCUCGAAAGUGUGGGUAUCAAACAGGAUUAGAUACCCUAGUAGUC
This 460-nucleotide ribosomal RNA is filed under the name uncultured bacterium. RNAcentral describes it as "partial 16S ribosomal RNA". It matches the Rfam family "Bacterial small subunit ribosomal RNA", at positions 338 to 795 of the family's 1533-position model. The record is from RNAcentral.